Homarus americanus (American lobster) is the source of this 1452-nucleotide long non-coding RNA. RefSeq lists it as uncharacterized. The transcript has 4 exons. The record is from RefSeq and is a predicted model, not a curated record. Lineage: Eukaryota; Metazoa; Arthropoda; Malacostraca; Decapoda; Nephropidae.
UUGUGGGGGUUAGCAACACUCCUGAAGUUCGGGAGCCGCCUAUGGGCACGAUGUCUCUCGAAGGACGUCUUUAAGGUGGCGAGAUUCCUUUCCCGGGCCAGGUGCUCCGAGCCAGCGAGCGAGCCUGUUAACGACUCUGGCCCACUGACUCCGUUGUAUGAUCAUGGUCUACCUACUGUUCUUGGUUAUAGGCACCGUCUGUGUUUUCACUGCUACCGAGGUUUGGUAGCCGCCUAUGGUCAAGAUGUUCAUUGAAGGAGGUCUGUAAUAAGGCGAGAUUAGAAUCUGAGGACAGACGCACCCAGGGAACACCGUGCAGAUACACUGCAUCGAGUCUACCCCGGCACUACCAGCGAACAAGCUUCGGCUGUUUGUGUAGGAACAACCCCUGUGCUCAGUGGUGAAGAGAAUAAAAGAAUUGUAUUGAUUGGGUUGAAGACUUUGCAUGGUGAAAUGGACGCGAAGUGUUGAAUACUUUGUUUGGUGAAAUGGACGCCUAAGUGAAUGCAAUAUCUGAAAAUGGAUUGUUGAAUACUAGUAUGAUGUAUGGAUCAACAAUUAUGAAACAUUCAAGAUCCACUGUGAGUGAUGUUGAAGGCUUCAACUGUAUUAAUGUUCGUUAAACUUGUCAAGUGAGUGAGUGUCGAGUCUGCCAGUAAGUGACGAAGUACUAAUAUCGCCCUUGAGGGAUGCCCGAGUUUCCAAAUGCUACUGAGGUUUGUCUCACCCCGCCAAGUUAAGUCAGUUUAACUCAGUUAAAUUGGGUGAAUAUCAGUGUUCAUGUUUUAACAUAGCUAAUUAUAAUAACAGUAACGUAAGCAUAAGCAUCGUGUGUAUCGUUGCCAGAUGUAUGGUUAUGAGUAGUUGAGGUUCGACCUUUUAACACGCUCAUGACUCUUCCUCAUCGCAUCUCCAGGCACUGUCUGUGUUUUCACCGCUACCGAGGUUCGGUAGCCGCCUAUGGUCAAGAUGUUCAUUGAAGGAGGUCUGUAAUAAGGCGAGAUUAGAAUCUGAGGACAGACGCACCCAGGGAACACCGUGCAGAUACACUGCAUCGAGUCUACCCCGGCACUACCAGCGAACAAGCUUCGGCUGUUUGUGUAGUAACAACCCCCAUGCCCAGUGUAAUUAAAUCCUGCCGGGUGCUCUAAUCUUGGUUAUAUAUGCUAAGCAGUAUUCUUAUACAUAAUUGGGGAUAAUUAGCAGAAAUAUAAUUGCCCUUGGUUAAGUAUUGAAAUCAUACACAUGGCUAUUGCCAGUGUUAAUGCCUGUUAUAUGGGUUGUUACCCAAGGUGAGAUACGGUAAGAUUCCGUGUUGUUCAUUCCGAAUAACAUGAUGAUGUAACUAAUGUGGUAAUAUCUAUGAUGUUGACAAGGUUGUAAAAUAACCACCUGUAUUGUCAAAGAUGCAAUAUAACAAUUAUGGAGUGUUGUAAUAAAUAAUUGAAGAUC